Molecule: long non-coding RNA, 1372 nt
Filed under: Anas platyrhynchos platyrhynchos (common mallard)
Lineage: Eukaryota; Metazoa; Chordata; Aves; Anseriformes; Anatidae
Description: lncRNA (ENSAPLG00000027628.1)
Source: RNAcentral
GGUCUGGGGGCUCCAUUUAAGCUCAGGGCAUAGCUGUCAACCUCUUCUCUGGUCCUGGUGCUUAGCUAGGGAGGGAUGAUUUUGUCUCUGGUCUCAUUUCUGAUUCUGUUUCCAUAAUGAACCCUGGAUGUCUGUUGGUCCUGCUCAUUCAAGCCCUGGCACCAGUGCUGCCCCACAAGAAGCUCAGGAGGAAAAGAUGGCAUCUCUGCAAUCAUCUGAAGGUCUCUCCUUGGAGCUGACCCUACAGCUGCUUGUGAGGUACCUGAGCCCUGUUCCAGCUCCUGGCUGGGCUGUGGGGUUACAGGGUUCCUUGCUGGGGACAGAAUCCUUUGGGAGCUGGCUGAUAGCCUUGCCCUGUCCUGUCUUGUGAUGGGUGGAUAAAGGGAUGGAGGAAAGCCCACAAGAAAGCUCUGAAGAAAUCUUUUUGGACCCUCAUUAUCACUAUGACUAAGGAAUGGAUGGACACCCACAAUAUAUUUCAGGCACUGCUUUAGCAAGGUGGUGAUCCCCCUCAGCACACAGGCACUCCAAAUCAGCUGGAAACUGAAUUAAAUGUUUGAUGACAAGGUUUCCAGCACAGACCAUAACAGCUCUUCGUAGCUGAAUUGAGGACGGCUGAAAAUGUCAGGAAAGCACCUAUACAGGUGUCAAACUGCUCUCUGCAAGGAGGCACAGCACAAGGGAAGGCUGAUGGACUCCUUGCAGAGCCACUAUUUCACCUCAAACUUUUCCUGCAAGUCCUCAGCUGGUGAUUGUGCUUGGCUUUAAUGUGCUGAUGGACUUGUGAGGGUGUGGUUCUGCCCAUGCCUGUUGUGGAAGAGCUGUGUGGGUGAUUUUGAGGACUCAGAAGAUGUUUAGUUAAUUGGUUCUCUCAAUGGGGCUGGAGGGCUUGUGGGAGGGUAGCCUCUGGUGUAGGAGCAUUAAACAAUUGGCAAAACAUUAUGCUGAUUAUUCAUGUAUUAAUUGGCAGAAGAAAAAGUUCUGGGGGAGGCUCAGACUGCUAAUUUCCAUCCUGACACAGCACUGAAAGGUCUCCCCAAGCAAAAUCUACUCCCUUGAGAGCUUUCCUUCAGCUUAGUUGUGACUCUAAUAACACCCAGGAGACUCCUCCUGGGGUUAGCAUCCCUGGUUAGACAGGGUGAAGUGGUGGUGUCCUUGCAUGACUAUUCAUUCCCUGCUGGGGUCCUUAUGGGGUUAUUCCCAGCGCUGCAUUUAUGACACUUGGGUGUGAGCCCAGCUACUCUGCCCUACAAAAAGUGUCUCCUCUUCCUUGCAAAAUGCAACUGGGGACUUUCAGCUCUCAAAUGCCUGUUGCUUGGUGAGAAGAAAGCCAGGAACCAGCACUGCUGCGGGUGAAGAGUUCAUCCCCUUG